This 349-nucleotide ribosomal RNA is filed under the name Vespula consobrina. Its description in RNAcentral is "partial 12S ribosomal RNA". The record is from RNAcentral. Lineage: Eukaryota; Metazoa; Arthropoda; Insecta; Hymenoptera; Vespidae.
AAUAAAUGUAAUUAAAAUAAAAAGAGAUUAAAUGAUAAAUCAUUAAAUUUAAAAAAUUUGGCGGUACUUAUAAUUUAGAGGAAUCUGUAUAGUAAUCGAUAAUCCACGAUAAGAAAUACUUAUCAAAAGUUUAUGUAUUGCUGUUUUAAAUAUUUAAUUGAGUUAAAUAUAAUAAAAUUUAUUAAGUUUAAUAAAAUAAUUCAAGUCAAAAUAUAGCUUUUUUAAGAUUUAAUAUGGAUUACAAUUAAUUUAAUUAUUAUUUGGAUUAUAAAAUUUAAUUUUUAUAUGAAAGUGGAUUUAAAAGUAAAUUUAAUUAAUUUAUUAAAUUGAAUUAUUAAUAUAAGUAUGU